AAAACAUCUUCUCUUGUUAUUUUUAAGAGAUUUGUCCUGCCCAAUGACUUAUUAAAUGGCCGCAGUAUUUUGACUGUGCAAAGGUAGCAUAAUCAUUAGUCUAUUAAUUGUUGACUUGUAUGAAUGGUUUAACGAGAUAUUAACUGUCUCAUCUUUAUUUUUAUAACUUAAGUUUUGGGUUAAAAUGCUCAAAUUAUUUUAUGGGACGAUAAGACCCUAUAGAUCUUUAUUGUGUUAGGUGUAGUAUUGUUUGGCUUGUUUUAUUUAUUAUUCUUAUUAUAUUUUUGUUGGGGUGACAUUAGGGUAAAUUUAACUCCUUUUUGUUGUUAACAUUUAUAUAUGAUUAUUUGAACUUUAUUCUUGUUUAUAAGAUAAAGAUACCUUAGGGAUAACAGCGUAAUUUUUAUUGAGAGUUCAUAUCGACAUAAAGGAUUGCGACCUCGAUGUUGGAUUAAGGUGAUUUUUAGGUGUAGGUGCUUAAUAAAUAGGUCUGUUCGACCUUUAAAAUCUUACAUGAUCUGAG
RNAcentral lists this ribosomal RNA (523 nucleotides) under Bacteria horni. RNAcentral's name for it is "partial large subunit ribosomal RNA". It matches the Rfam family "Bacterial large subunit ribosomal RNA", at positions 1810 to 2609 of the family's 2925-position model. The record is from RNAcentral. Lineage: Eukaryota; Metazoa; Arthropoda; Insecta; Phasmatodea; Diapheromeridae.